RNAcentral lists this transfer RNA (56 nucleotides) under Chelonia mydas (Green sea turtle). It matches the Rfam family "tRNA", at positions 9 to 63 of the family's 71-position model. Rfam says of the family: Transfer RNA (tRNA) molecules are approximately 80 nucleotides in length. Lineage: Eukaryota; Metazoa; Chordata; Testudines; Cheloniidae. The record is from Rfam by way of RNAcentral.
AGCCCAGUGGUUAGGGCACUCACCUGGAAUGUGGGAGAUGUGGUUUCAAUUCCCUC